Non-coding RNA from Podarcis lilfordi (Lilford's wall lizard), 81 nucleotides. The record is from the annotation of a GenBank genome assembly. NCBI's taxonomy places the organism in Eukaryota, Metazoa, Chordata, Lepidosauria, Squamata, Lacertidae.
UGUGUGUGUGUGUGUGUGUAUAUGUAUAUAUAUAUAUAUAUAUAUAUAUAUAUAUAUAUAUACACAUACAAUAUACACAGA